Molecule: ribosomal RNA, 1560 nt
Filed under: Enterococcus hirae
Lineage: Bacteria; Bacillati; Bacillota; Bacilli; Lactobacillales; Enterococcaceae
Description: bacterial SSU rRNA
Rfam family: Bacterial small subunit ribosomal RNA
Source: RNAcentral
UUUUAUGAGAGUUUGAUCCUGGCUCAGGACGAACGCUGGCGGCGUGCCUAAUACAUGCAAGUCGAACGCUUCUUUUUCCACCGGAGCUUGCUCCACCGGAAAAAGAGGAGUGGCGAACGGGUGAGUAACACGUGGGUAACCUGCCCAUCAGAAGGGGAUAACACUUGGAAACAGGUGCUAAUACCGUAUAACAAUUGAAACCGCAUGGUUUUGAUUUGAAAGGCGCUUUCGGGUGUCGCUGAUGGAUGGACCCGCGGUGCAUUAGCUAGUUGGUGAGGUAACGGCUCACCAAGGCGACGAUGCAUAGCCGACCUGAGAGGGUGAUCGGCCACAUUGGGACUGAGACACGGCCCAAACUCCUACGGGAGGCAGCAGUAGGGAAUCUUCGGCAAUGGACGAAAGUCUGACCGAGCAACGCCGCGUGAGUGAAGAAGGUUUUCGGAUCGUAAAACUCUGUUGUUAGAGAAGAACAAGGAUGAGAGUAACUGUUCAUCCCUUGACGGUAUCUAACCAGAAAGCCACGGCUAACUACGUGCCAGCAGCCGCGGUAAUACGUAGGUGGCAAGCGUUGUCCGGAUUUAUUGGGCGUAAAGCGAGCGCAGGCGGUUUCUUAAGUCUGAUGUGAAAGCCCCCGGCUCAACCGGGGAGGGUCAUUGGAAACUGGGAGACUUGAGUGCAGAAGAGGAGAGUGGAAUUCCAUGUGUAGCGGUGAAAUGCGUAGAUAUAUGGAGGAACACCAGUGGCGAAGGCGGCUCUCUGGUCUGUAACUGACGCUGAGGCUCGAAAGCGUGGGGAGCAAACAGGAUUAGAUACCCUGGUAGUCCACGCCGUAAACGAUGAGUGCUAAGUGUUGGAGGGUUUCCGCCCUUCAGUGCUGCAGCUAACGCAUUAAGCACUCCGCCUGGGGAGUACGACCGCAAGGUUGAAACUCAAAGGAAUUGACGGGGGCCCGCACAAGCGGUGGAGCAUGUGGUUUAAUUCGAAGCAACGCGAAGAACCUUACCAGGUCUUGACAUCCUUUGACCACUCUAGAGAUAGAGCUUCCCCUUCGGGGGCAAAGUGACAGGUGGUGCAUGGUUGUCGUCAGCUCGUGUCGUGAGAUGUUGGGUUAAGUCCCGCAACGAGCGCAACCCUUAUUGUUAGUUGCCAUCAUUUAGUUGGGCACUCUAGCAAGACUGCCGGUGACAAACCGGAGGAAGGUGGGGAUGACGUCAAAUCAUCAUGCCCCUUAUGACCUGGGCUACACACGUGCUACAAUGGGAAGUACAACGAGUCGCAAAGUCGCGAGGCUAAGCUAAUCUCUCAAAGCUUCUCUCAGUUCGGAUUGUAGGCUGCAACUCGCCUACAUGAAGCCGGAAUCGCUAGUAAUCGCGGAUCAGCACGCCGCGGUGAAUACGUUCCCGGGCCUUGUACACACCGCCCGUCACACCACGAGAGUUUGUAACACCCGAAGUCGGUGAGGUAACCUUUUGGAGCCAGCCGCCUAAGGUGGGAUAGAUGAUUGGGGUGAAGUCGUAACAAGGUAGCCGUAUCGGAAGGUGCGGCUGGAUCACCUCCUUU